GAUGAACGCUGGCGGCGUGCCUAAUACAUGCAAGUCGAGCGAACGGACGAGAAGCUUGCUUCUCUGAUGUUAGCGGCGGACGGGUGAGUAACACGUGGAUAACCUACCUAUAAGACUGGGAUAACUUCGGGAAACCGGAGCUAAUACCGGAUAAUAUUUUGAACCGCAUGGUUCAAAAGUGAAAGACGGUCUUGCUGUCACUUAUAGAUGGAUCCGCGCUGCAUUAGCUAGUUGGUAAGGUAACGGCUUACCAAGGCAACGAUGCAUAGCCGACCUGAGAGGGGGAACGGCCACAAGGGAAAUGAAAAACGGGCCAGAACCCGAAGGGGGGCAAGAGUAGGGAAUUUCCCGAAAGGGGGGAAAGCCUGACGGAGAAACGCCGGGGGAGUGAGGAAGGGUUGGGGAUCGUAAAACUCUGUUAUUAGGGAAGAAAAUAGGGGAAAGUAAAGGGGAAAAUUUUGACGGUACAUAAUCAGAAAGCCACGGCUAACUACGU
This 496-nucleotide ribosomal RNA is filed under the name uncultured bacterium. RNAcentral's name for it is "partial 16S ribosomal RNA". It matches the Rfam family "Bacterial small subunit ribosomal RNA", at positions 28 to 506 of the family's 1533-position model. The record is from RNAcentral.